Molecule: ribosomal RNA, 332 nt
Filed under: uncultured eukaryote
Lineage: Eukaryota
Description: partial 18S ribosomal RNA
Rfam family: Eukaryotic small subunit ribosomal RNA
Source: RNAcentral
CCCUUAGAUGUUCUGGGCUGCACGCGCGCUACACUGAUGCGCUCAACGAGUUUUAACCUUGCCCGGAAGGGUUGGGUAAUCUUUUCAAAACGCAUCGUGAUGGGGAUAGAUUAUUGCAAUUAUUAAUCUUCAACGAGGAAUUCCUAGUAAGCGCGAGUCAUAAGCUCGCGUUGAUUACGUCCCUGCCCUUUGUACACACCGCCCGUCGCUACUACCGAUUGGAUGGUUUAGUGAGAUCCUCGGAUUGGACCCGUCUCCGGGGGCAACCCCGGGCGCGGUGUUCUAAGAAGACGAUCAAACUUGAUCAUCUAGAGGAAGUAAAAGUCGUAACA